RNAcentral lists this ribosomal RNA (433 nucleotides) under uncultured bacterium. RNAcentral's name for it is "partial 16S ribosomal RNA". It matches the Rfam family "Bacterial small subunit ribosomal RNA", at positions 29 to 507 of the family's 1533-position model. The record is from RNAcentral.
AACGAACGCUGGCGGCAUGCCUAACACAUGCAAGUCGAACGAGACCUUCGGGUCUAGUGGCGCACGGGUGCGUAACGCGUGGGAACCUGCCCUUAGGUGCGGAAUAACUCCCCGAAAGGGGUGCUAAUACCGGAUAAUGUCUUCGGACCAAAGAUUUAUCGCCUUUGGAUGGGCCCGCGUUGGAUUAGCUAGUUGGUAGGGUAAAAGCCUACCAAGGCGACGAUCCAUAGCUGGUCUGAGAGGAUGAUCAGCCACACUGGGACUGGGACACGGCCCAGACUCCUACGGGAGGCAGCAAUGGGGAAUAUUGGACAAUGGGCGAAAGCCUGAUCCAGCAAUGCCGCGUGAGUGAUGAAGGCCUUAGGGUUGUAAAGCUCUUUUACCCGGGAUGAUAAUGACAGUACCGGGAGAAUAAGCGCCGGCUAACUCCGUG